UUUCGCGCCUUUUUCUGUCAACUUACGCUUGACCAUUUUUAUUUUCCCGCGCUCUCUCUACUCCGUGACAUCUUAGUGUACGCGUCUAUAUUUUUAUUGUAAAACUUAUUACAGUUAAAAUACAAGUUAAACCAAGUGAAUAGUCGUUUAAUUUAUCAGGUUAUGGGCCCAGUAAAGCUCAGAAAUAAAGACAGUGCAAAAUAUAGUAGUGAAAAGUGAAAAUAAGACUUUGAAUGUGAACGUCUCAUACGCCGACAAACAUUUUUUCUCAAACAGACUUUUGAAGUGUUUUCGUAUAAGAACUGAGUUUAAUUGUGUAAAAUGGCAGCAAAUAAUCAAAUGGCAUUAAUUGAAAAGUUAACCGGUCGUGAAAACUACGCAACUUGGCGAUUUGCAGUGAAAACUUACCUGCAACACGAGGAGCUGUGGGACUGCAUCGAAUCCGACGCAGACGCUCCAGUUGAUAAGAAACGAGACACAAAGGCUAAAACGAAGAUAAUUCUCUUAGUCGAUCCAAUAAACUAUGUACACAUUCAAGAGGCCAGCACUGCAAAAGAAGUUUGGAAUAAGCUGUCGAGAGCCUUCGACGACUCUGGGCUGACACGCCGAGUGGGUCUGCUGCGUGAUCUUUGCAACACGUCGCUAACUGGAUGUCAAAAUGUAGAAGAAUACGUAAGCAAAAUAAUGAGUACUGCUCACAAGCUCAGAAACAUUGGUUUUGCUGUAGACGACGAGUGGCUCGGCACACUGCUGCUCUCCGGUCUGCCUGAAUCCUAUCAACCAAUGAUUAUAGCAAUAGAAAGCUCUGGCAUGAAGAUAACAUCAGAUUCAGUUAAGUCAAAGCUAUUACAAGAUGUUAGACAACCUGACAAUACAUCUACAGCAUUUGUGGCCGAUAAGAAAACACACAACUAUAAAAAGAAACCAUCAAAAGGCCCUAGGUGCUACUCUUGUAAUAAAUAUGGUCAUAAAAGUCCGGAAUGCAAAUCCAAAACCAAAGAUACACAACAAAAGUCAGGCAAAUCAUCUUAUGCUGCCGUGUUCAUUGCAACUACUAGUCAAGAUGAUGCAUGGUAUGUGGAUUCAGGUGCAUCUUCACAUAUGACCAGACAUAAGACUUUGAUACAAAAUAUAACAACUCCUGUCAUACAAAACAUAAGAGUUGCAGACAAUAAAGUGUUAUCAGUGCAAUGCUCUGGAGAAGUGAGCUUAGAUGUCUAUAAUGACAGAGGUGAAGAGAAUAAAGUACUAUUCACUAAUGUACUAUGUGUUCCUGAACUCGCCACAAAUCUGAUAUCAGUGAGUCAGAUAAUACGAAGUGGUGGCCAAGUAAGAUUCAAUGAAGAAGGCUGUGUUAUUAUGAACAGUAAAGGUCAGAUAGUAGCAACAGCAAGUGCAGUCAACAACAUGUACCGGCUAAAUAUGUCUGGAAGAGGCUAUGCAUGCAUGUCAGAUGUUGAAGAAAAAGACCCUUACUUAUGGCAUCAGAGAAUGGGACACCUGAAUUUUCACAGUCUCAGCAAAAUGACUGAAAAUACUGACCAUGUAAUUUUCCCGAACAAAAUAGAAGAUCUGACAUGUGUCACAUGUAAAGAAGGUAAACAGACACGACUACCUUUUAAGAGUAAAGGCUCAAGGGCUAGUAACAUACUCGAUCUGAUUCACUCCGACAUAUGUGGACCUAUGGAAACAGAAACACUAGGAGGUUCCAAAUACUUCAUUACAUUUCUUGAUGAUCAUUCGAAGAAGAUACAUGUUUACUUUCUCCGAAACAAGUCUGAUGCUCUGGAAAAGUUUAAAGAAUUUAAACAUGAAGUCGAAAAUCAGAAGAAUGCUCGUAUAAAAGUCCUACGAACUGACAACGGCUUGGAAUAUGUCAACAAGAGUUUCUCCGACUAUCUGAAAAGUGCUGGUAUUAUACACCAAACUACCACGCAUUAUACGCCAGAACAAAAUGGGACUGCUGAGCGUAUGAAUAGGACUCUUGUUGAAAGAGCGAAGUGCAUGCUCCUUAAUGCAAACUUUCCCAAACAAUACUGGGGUGAAGCAAUACACACCGCUGCCUAUGUCGUCAAUCGUUCACCGACUAGGUCCUUGUCGUUCAAAACUCCUGAAGAAAUAUGGACAGGACAAAAACCGAAUAUAAGUCACAUGCGUAUAUUUGGUUGUGAAGCAAUGGUACACCUGCCCAAAGAGAAACGCAAGAAAUGGGACCCCAAAGCUCAGAAAAUGAUUUUCAUCGGGUACUGUGAUCACACCAAGGGUUACAGAUUUAUAAUACCUGGCACACGAAAAGUAGUCAAAAGCAGGGAUGCUACAUUCCUAGAGUCAACUGUAAAGAGAGAUUAUGUUCCUGUGGAAUUGUCGACGAAUUCUGCAACAAAUAAUGACAACAUUAUUCAGAAGGAAGCAGAAGAAAGUGACACUAACAAUGAUUCAUAUGAAACUGUGUUAGAAGAGAACAGAUCUACUUCAGACAGUGAUUACUUACCUGACACCAGAAUUGAAGCUCCUGUCGCCAGCAACAUGACCCUGAGACCUAGAAAGAAAAUAAAUAAACACAAUAUAAAUACAGAAAGUUCAGAUGAAAGUACUUACCUUUGCCAACAUGAAGAGACUCUCGCAGAUGUUCCAGUAACAUACAGAGAAGCUGUAAAUUCUAUUGAUAAAGAAAAAUGGGAAAAGUCCAUAAGUGAAGAACUACAUUCCCAUCAGAAAAACAAUACCUGGACAUUGGUUGAAAAACCCCCAAAUGCCAAAAUAAUUGGAUGCAAAUGGGUGUUCCGUAUCAAAGAUGAACCAACAGGUCCUCGCUUCAAAUCUCGACUAUGUGCUAAAGGAUAUGCACAAACUGCAGGUAUAGACUACCAGGAAACCUUUGCACCAACAGUGAGGUAUGAUUCCAUUCGAUUAUUGUUAUCCACAGCUGUUCAACAUAAUUUCAAUAUUAUUCAACUUGAUGUCAAGACGGCGUUCUUAUACGGCGAACUAGAAGAAACAAUCUACAUGUCUCCACCAGAGGGCCUGCCGUGUGAAGAAAAUAUGCGUUCCGGUCGAUCCUCACAUGAAGCUGCAGAAAGGAGAGGGAGAGCCUGAGAAAAACAUACCAUACCGAGAGGCAGUGGGCUCCCUCAUGCACCUGGCCAUUGUGAGUCGACCAGAUAUCAUGUUUGCUGUCAGUCUGAUACUUCCCUUCUUCCACGUUCCUCAGUUAUGAUUAUAAGGAUACGAUGGCUCUUACAAUGGAUCGCGAUUCUUUCCUGUUUGAUGAUGACUUCAG
RNA transcript from Spodoptera frugiperda (fall armyworm), 3280 nucleotides. It is a transcript of the gene named sphingomyelin phosphodiesterase, with no coding region annotated. NCBI's taxonomy places the organism in Eukaryota, Metazoa, Arthropoda, Insecta, Lepidoptera, Noctuidae. The transcript is spliced from 3 exons. The record is from RefSeq and is a predicted model, not a curated record.